This 274-nucleotide ribosomal RNA is filed under the name uncultured bacterium. RNAcentral describes it as "partial 16S ribosomal RNA". It matches the Rfam family "Bacterial small subunit ribosomal RNA", at positions 523 to 796 of the family's 1533-position model. The record is from RNAcentral.
AUACGGUGGGUGCAAGCGUUACUCGGAAUCACUGGGCGUAAAGCGCGCGCAGGCGGCUAUUUAAGUUGGAUGUGAAAGCCUACGGCUCAACCGUAGAACUGCAUCCAAAACUAUUUAGCUAGAGUGUGGGAGAGGAAGAUGGAAUUAGUUGUGUAGGGGUAAAAUCCGUAGAGAUAACUAGGAAUACCAAAAGCGAAGGCAAUCUUCUCGAACACUACUGACGCUGAGGCGCGAAAGCGUGGGGAGCAAACAGGAUUAGAAACCCUAGUAGUCC